This is a long non-coding RNA of Anguilla anguilla (European eel), 209 nucleotides long. RefSeq lists it as uncharacterized. The transcript has 3 exons. The record is from RefSeq and is a predicted model, not a curated record. Lineage: Eukaryota; Metazoa; Chordata; Actinopteri; Anguilliformes; Anguillidae.
GUUCAAGAAGCAAAGCACAGCUAUUCCUACCCGUGUGUUUACGGCCAAAGAUUGCAAUGAUUGAAGUCUGGCCCCUAGGGGGAGCUGUCGCUGUUUGAACUGUUUCAUACCCGCAGAGAGGCACUGUGAAGACAGAAAGAGUGUCGGUCAGUUCCUGUGCCCGUGGCGCCGGUCACGUUCCCCCGGGCGGUCUUGUGAAGGAGCGUGUA